CAGGAAAGGCUGAGGGAGCUGGGGCUGCUCAGCCUGGAGAGGAGCCCCAGCUGAGAGGGGCCCUCAGGCCUGGCUGUCCCUGUGUGCAGGGAGGGCAGAGCAGGCCCAGGCUCUGCUGCAGGCCCAGCGAUGGCCCCAGAGCCACGGGCAGGGCCUGAGCCCAGGAGCUGCCCCUGCCCAGGAGGCAGAACUGCUGCCCUGGGCAGUGCCCAGCCCUGAGCAGAUGGUGCAGAGAGGCUGUGGAGUCUCCUCCCUGGGGAUAUUGCAGAGCCCCACGGACACACUGCUGUGCCCUGUGCUCUGGGAUGGCCCUGCUGGAGCAGGGAGGUGGCACCAGAGCAGCUCCUCUGGGCCCCUCCAGCCUCACCCAUCCUGGGGUUCUGCUGUGGGGUCAGAAGCAGGACAGGAGCUCAAUGACAGUGAAAACUCUCACCACCAACAAAACAAAUUAAGAUUCCAGAAGCUGCCUAAAAAGAAAGCCUGAAGCAGUAAUCAAAUGAAAAGAGGCAUGAAUUUUAAUCUGCUACCAAAGUACACCUUCAAACUUCAAGUGAUAAUUUAUUUUUACUCAGAGGUCCAGCCAAGCAUAUCAAAUGAUACAAGGAAAUGGACAUAGAGCUAGCUCAAAAUGAGAUGUGUAUAAAAUAAUGUGAAGUGUGGAUUUCUCAGCGUUCCGAUGGUCAGGAUGACCCCGAGAUCGUAAAGAGUCUUUUCUCCCAGCCCACACAGCAAAAGAAGGAGCCUGGAAUGUGUCCAAU
Vidua chalybeata is the source of this 758-nucleotide long non-coding RNA. RefSeq lists it as uncharacterized. The record is from RefSeq and is a predicted model, not a curated record. NCBI's taxonomy places the organism in Eukaryota, Metazoa, Chordata, Aves, Passeriformes, Viduidae. The transcript is spliced from 3 exons.